This 253-nucleotide ribosomal RNA is filed under the name uncultured bacterium. Its description in RNAcentral is "partial 16S ribosomal RNA". It matches the Rfam family "Bacterial small subunit ribosomal RNA", at positions 524 to 776 of the family's 1533-position model. The record is from RNAcentral.
GACGAACCGUGCGAACGUUGUUCGGAAUCACUGGGCUUAAAGAGCGCGUAGGCGGGCAUUCAAGUCCGGGGUGAAAUCCUCCAGCUUAACUGGAGAAGUGCCUCGGAUACUGGGUGCCUCGAGGGGGGUAGGGGCAAGCGGAACUAUGGGUGGAGCGGUGAAAUGCAUUGAUAUCCAUAGGAACUCCGGUGGCGAAGGCGGCUUGCUGGACCCUUUCUGACGCUGAGGCGCGAAAGCCAGGGGAGCGAACGGG